UACGUAGGUGGCAAGCGUUGUCCGGAUUUAUUGGGCGUAAAGCGCGCGCAGGCGGCUAUGUAAGUCUGAUGUUAAAGCCCGAGGCUCAACCUCGGUUCGCAUUGGAAACUGUGUAGCUUGAGUGCAGAAGAGGAAAGCGGUAUUCCACGUGUAGCGGUGAAAUGCGUAGAGAUGUGGAGGAACACCAGUGGCGAAGGCGGCUUUCUGGUCUGUAACUGACGCUGAGGCGCGAAAGCGUGGGGAGC
RNAcentral lists this ribosomal RNA (245 nucleotides) under uncultured bacterium. Its description in RNAcentral is "partial 16S ribosomal RNA". It matches the Rfam family "Bacterial small subunit ribosomal RNA", at positions 524 to 769 of the family's 1533-position model. The record is from RNAcentral.